Molecule: transfer RNA, 72 nt
Filed under: Camelus dromedarius (Arabian camel)
Lineage: Eukaryota; Metazoa; Chordata; Mammalia; Artiodactyla; Camelidae
Also listed under: 1 other name
Rfam family: tRNA
About the family: Transfer RNA (tRNA) molecules are approximately 80 nucleotides in length.
Source: Rfam by way of RNAcentral
GUAGUUAUAGCUCAAUGAGAGAGUGCAUGCUUAGCAUGCAUGAGGUCCUGGGUUCAAUUCCUAGCACCUCCA